CUCACCGCCGACAUCAGAGCAAUGAUUCGCCUGACCAUGCGCCGACCUGAACAACAUGCCGAGCCGUACUACGGCCUCGCCCUGUUACAUCGCAGGUAAACCGACCCCCGCCUAUAAAAGGGGGCCUUGGCCCCACGGUGGAAGAGGGAUGGAUACACUCUACAGACAUUAUUUAUCUCCCUUUCUACACUAUUUGCCCCCUCCCUGACUUGAGCGUCGGAGGGCCGGCGCCGGAAAACCCGGCCACCGGUUCGUGUGCAGGCACCCGGACGGAGGACGCCGCCAACUGACGGAUCGCCGCUUCGCCACGAGGACCUGCCGCCCCUUCUCUCCGAC
RNAcentral lists this long non-coding RNA (336 nucleotides) under Phoenix dactylifera (date palm). RNAcentral describes it as "long non-coding RNA (PDAC_LNC007373)". The record is from RNAcentral. Lineage: Eukaryota; Viridiplantae; Streptophyta; Magnoliopsida; Arecales; Arecaceae.